UGAAAACAUGGACCUCAGAAGCACAAGAUGGCAGGAGGAAGCCAUGGCUGCUGGCUGGUGCUGUUAUGAGCACCAGCAUUUUGUCAGUUUGGGGACUAGGAGGGUAGUCCCUGCCAUGUCCAACACCUGGUGAGUCUGGCUCCAUAUUAUACACAGAAACUCUGGGCAUUGUCUACGUAUAGCCACAGAGAAACAAGUUGCUUUCUGCAGCACAGCAAGUAAGAUAAGAGGAGGUCGUGGACUGCCUUGGUGUUAUGACAUUCACCCUUUGUUCUACCAGCUAGAUUCCCAGCAUAGGGAUAUUUGCUUUUAAACACUUGCUUGGGUCAGAGUAGCUAAACUCUGCUACAGAGUGAAUGGAGGACUGUGAACUAUUUCUUCUCAGAGCCAGGAGAGGUUGGAUAUGGUGAAAAGGCUUUUGAUCUUUGCAAAGAAAGGAUCCCUUGAGGCUGGAGGCGGGCAGCCUUUAGGUGUCACUCACACUGGAGAAACUUUGAUGGAGCACUGACUGAGUCCCGGGAGAGGCCAUGUGAAUGGAGGCAAGAUGCUCCUGACUCUGGCCAGCUCAGGGAAAAGUCUAUCUGGGGUUUCCAGGAUCAACUGCCACGUGAGUAGUUUACUCAAUGUUCCAGAAGUAAUGAGGACAUGGCGUUAAAGAAGGACAUGAAGUAACUUGUAGGAAUUGAUUCUUCCCUUCCAUUAUGUGGCUCCUGGAACUCACGUUGUCACAGCAGCAAUUAGCCUUUACCUGCUGAGGAAUUUUGCUGACACUUUGAGAUAUAAUUAUAUUCAUGAG
RNAcentral lists this long non-coding RNA (796 nucleotides) under Cricetulus griseus (Chinese hamster). RNAcentral's name for it is "lncRNA (ENSCGRG00015034265.1)". Lineage: Eukaryota; Metazoa; Chordata; Mammalia; Rodentia; Cricetidae. The record is from RNAcentral.